AGCGUACACGGUGGAUGCCCUGGCAGUCAGAGGCGAUGAAGGACGUGCUAAUCUGCGAAAAGCGCCGGCGAGGUGAUAUGAACCUUUGACCCGGCGAUGUCCGAAUGGGGAAACCCAGUGCAAUCCGUUGCACUAUCGUUAACUGAAUACAUAGGUUAACGAGGCGAACCGGGGGAACUGAAACAUCUAAGUACCCCGAGGAAAAGAAAUCAACCGAGAUUCCCCCAGUAGCGGCGAGCGAACGGGGAGCAGCCCAGAGUCUGAAUCAGCUUGUGUGUUAGUGGAACGGUCUGGAAAGUCCGACGGUACAGGGUGAUAGUCCCGUACACGAAAAUGCACAGGUUGUGAACUCGAAGAGUAGGGCGGGACACGUGGUAUCCUGUCUGAAUAUGGGGGGACCAUCCUCCAAGGCUAAAUACUCCUGACUGACCGAUAGUGAACCAGUACCGUGAGGGAAAGGCGAAAAGAACCCCGGCGAGGGGAGUGAAAAAGAACCUGAAACCGUGUACGUACAAGCAGUGGGAGCCUCUUUAUGGGGUGACUGCGUACCUUUUGUAUAAUGGGUCAGCGACUUAUAUUCUGUAGCAAGGUUAACCGUAUAGGGGAGCCGAAGGGAAACCGAGUCUUAACUGGGCGUUAAGUUGCAGGGUAUAGACCCGAAACCCGGUGAUCUAGCCAUGGGCAGGUUGAAGGUUGGGUAACACUAACUGGAGGACCGAACCGACUAAUGUUGAAAAAUUAGCGGAUGACUUGUGGCUGGGGGUGAAAGGCCAAUCAAACCGGGAGAUAGCUGGUUCUCCCCGAAAGCUAUUUAGGUAGCGCCUCGUGAAUUCAUCUUCGGGGGUAGAGCACUGUUUCGGCUAGGGGGUCAUCCCGACUUACCAACCCGAUGCAAACUACGAAUACCGAAGAAUGUUAUCACGGGAGACACACGGCGGGUGCUAACGUCCGUCGUGAAGAGGGAAACAACCCAGACCGCCAGCUAAGGUCCCAAAGUCAUGGUUAAGUGGGAAACGAUGUGGGAAGGCACAGACAGCCAGGAUGUUGGCUUAGAAGCAGCCAUCAUUUAAAGAAAGCGUAAUAGCUCACUGGUCGAGUCGGCCUGCGCGGAAGAUGUAACGGGGCUAAACCAUGCACCGAAGCUGCGGCAGCGACACUAUGUGUUGUUGGGUAGGGGAGCGUUCUGUAAGCCGUUGAAGGUGUGCUGUGAGGCAUGCUGGAGGUAUCAGAAGUGCGAAUGCUGACAUAAGUAACGAUAAAGCGGGUGAAAAGCCCGCUCGCCGGAAGACCAAGGGUUCCUGUCCAACGUUAAUCGGGGCAGGGUGAGUCGACCCCUAAGGCGAGGCCGAAAGGCGUAGUCGAUGGGAAACAGGUUAAUAUUCCUGUACUUGGUGUUACUGCGAAGGGGGGACGGAGAAGGCUAUGUUAGCCGGGCGACGGUUGUCCCGGUUUAAGCAUGUAGGCGGAGGUUCCAGGUAAAUCCGGUACCUUUUAACGCUGAGGUGUGAUGACGAGGCACUACGGUGCUGAAGUAACAAAUGCCCUGCUUCCAGGAAAAGCCUCUAAGCAUCAGGUAACACGAAAUCGUACCCCAAACCGACACAGGUGGUCAGGUAGAGAAUACCAAGGCGCUUGAGAGAACUCGGGUGAAGGAACUAGGCAAAAUGGUGCCGUAACUUCGGGAGAAGGCACGCUGAUAUGUAGGUGAAGUGGUUUACCCAUGGAGCUGAAAUCAGUCGAAGAUACCAGCUGGCUGCAACUGUUUAUUAAAAACACAGCACUGUGCAAACACGAAAGUGGACGUAUACGGUGUGACGCCUGCCCGGUGCCGGAAGGUUAAUUGAUGGGGUUAGCGGCAACGCGAAGCUCUUGAUCGAAGCCCCGGUAAACGGCGGCCGUAACUAUAACGGUCCUAAGGUAGCGAAAUUCCUUGUCGGGUAAGUUCCGACCUGCACGAAUGGCGUAAUGAUGGCCAGGCUGUCUCCACCCGAGACUCAGUGAAAUUGAACUCGCUGUGAAGAUGCAGUGUACCCGCGGCAAGACGGAAAGACCCCGUGAACCUUUACUAUAGCUUGACACUGAACACUGGUCCUUGAUGUGUAGGAUAGGUGGGAGGCUUUGAAGCGUGGACGCCAGUCUGCGUGGAGCCAACCUUGAAAUACCACCCUUUAAUGGCUGGUGUUCUAACGUAGACCCGUAAUCCGGGUUGCGGACAGUGUCUGGUGGGUAGUUUGACUGGGGCGGUCUCCUCCCAAAGAGUAACGGAGGAGCACGAAGGUUGGCUAAUCCUGGUCGGACAUCAGGAGGUUAGUGCAAUGGCAUAAGCCAGCUUGACUGCGAGCGUGACGGCGCGAGCAGGUGCGAAAGCAGGUCAUAGUGAUCCGGUGGUUCUGAAUGGAAGGGCCAUCGCUCAACGGAUAAAAGGUACUCCGGGGAUAACAGGCUGAUACCGCCCAAGAGUUCAUAUCGACGGCGGUGUUUGGCACCUCGAUGUCGGCUCAUCACAUCCUGGGGCUGAAGUAGGUCCCAAGGGUAUGGCUGUUCGCCAUUUAAAGUGGUACGCGAGCUGGGUUUAGAACGUCGUGAGACAGUUCGGUCCCUAUCUGCCGUGGGCGCUGGAGAAUUGAGGGGGGCUGCUCCUAGUACGAGAGGACCGGAGUGGACGCAUCACUGGUGUUCGGGUUGUCAUGCCAAUGGCACUGCCCGGUAGCUAAAUGCGGAAGAGAUAAGUGCUGAAAGCAUCUAAGCACGAAACUUGCCCCGAGAUGAGUUCU
This 2774-nucleotide ribosomal RNA is filed under the name human gut metagenome. Its description in RNAcentral is "bacterial LSU rRNA". It matches the Rfam family "Bacterial large subunit ribosomal RNA". The record is from RNAcentral.